RNAcentral lists this ribosomal RNA (497 nucleotides) under uncultured bacterium. RNAcentral describes it as "partial 16S ribosomal RNA". It matches the Rfam family "Bacterial small subunit ribosomal RNA", at positions 28 to 507 of the family's 1533-position model. The record is from RNAcentral.
GAUGAACGCUGGCGGCGUGCCUAAUACAUGCAAGUCGAGCGAGCAGACGAGGAGCUUGCUUCUCUGACGUUAGCGGCGGACGGGUGAGUAACACGUGGAUAACCUACCUAUAGGACUGGGAUAACUUCGGGAAACCGGAGCUAAUACCGGAUAAUAUAUUGAACCGCAUGGUUCAAUAGUGAAAGACGGUUUUGCUGUCACUUAUAGAUGGAUCCGCGCCGCAUUAGCUAGUUGGUAAGGUAACGGCUUACCAAGGCAACGAUGCGUAGCCGACCUGAGAGGGUGAUCGGCCACACUGGAACUGAGACACGGUCCAGACUCCUACGGGAGGCAGCAGUAGGGAAUCUUCCGCAAUGGGCGAAAGCCUGACGGAGCAACGCCGCGUGAGUGAUGAAGGUCUUCGGAUCGUAAAACUCUGUUAUUAGGGAAGAACAAAUGUGUAAGUAACUAUGCACGUCUUGACGGUACCUAAUCAGAAAGCCACGGCUAACUACGUG